This 1133-nucleotide long non-coding RNA is filed under the name Marmota monax (woodchuck). Lineage: Eukaryota; Metazoa; Chordata; Mammalia; Rodentia; Sciuridae. The record is from RNAcentral.
UUUAUAUUAUUAUAUGUCUAUUGUAUAUCAAGGCAGACGGUGGAGGGGGGGAUCAAUGACACACGCAGUAAUCUCAGGAUUACUGUUUUAACAUCACUUCAGACAAGAGGCACCAAUUUCUGGUUGAGUAUAUGGUGUUGAGUCCUCACACCUGAGAAAUGUUAAAUGAAACUGGUAACUCGAGACUCACAGACAGAACAAUUUUAACUAUAAAGGCACUGCUAACUCCAGUUUGAUCAGUAGCAUAGUCUGAAUUAUAAACUUUAUAAAAAAGAGAAUAGUCCGUUAUUGCCAAAUAGAUACUGUACAAAAAUAAUUACUUUAAAAUACAUAAUAAUGCUUACAGCUAUUGUUUGAAAUUAGUAUUCUGUUCAUGGUAUGCAUAUAGUUAACUUUAAAUUUAUUUUUAAAAUUUUAAAUAUUUUAAAUCACUGUGUUUCUUAAUUAAGCCAAAGGACACCCUCUUCUGAGCAGAGUUUCUGAGUUCUGCUUCCCUUAUGUGUCUACCUAAGCAACUUCUCAUUCAGAUACAAAUAAGACCAUUCAGAUAUUCUUGUAAUCAAUUUUUAAAAGAUUAAAUGCUAAAAAUAAAAGAUUAAACUAAAAAUCCAAAGUAGUGUUAAAUGCAAAUCCAAAACAGCAAUAAUGGAAAAUGAGAACUAGGCUUCAAAUGAGGUCUUAUUUGAAGUCACUAGGACCAUACCAGUAACUCUCUCCUACCCUCAACCACCCUCCAGGGCCACACACUUAGAGUUGAUAACAUGUUGUCUAGUUCAAGACCUAAUGGACACGAGCAAGGGCAGUCCUUCUUCAGUGUGGCUCUUCAUUUUGCUCACCAGAAAGGAUAAUCUCUUUUGCUAGGAAUGGCUAUAAAAAGCAAAAUGCUUAACAUCUUUGUUAGAGCACAGAAAAGGAAGCAGAAAAGAAAAUGAGGAAAGGGAAGACAUAGUUAUUAAAAGAGGGCAAAGUUUUGAAGGACUUAAGAGUUGUAGAGGCAAGAAAUUUUUGAGAAAGAGCAGAAAAGGGUAUGAAUGGAAACCCACUGGAGUCCUGCACUCUGGGGUGCUAGGACAGGGAUGCAGCCUCAGAUGAGUCACUAAGACUGUGGCCUCACUGUGCUGCAGUGAGGGACC